UAUAAACCCAGGUAGCAGAGCUGCUGCCUAGGAAAGGCUGUAGUCACUCCCUGAGUGGAGGGAGUUGGAGGCUAGCAAAACCAGAGAGAGGGCAAGCCAGACAUGUAAGAAGGCGACCAGGGAAACAGCAGGAAGAGUACAGCCUAAGAACCAACCGAGAAUGGGGUGCCACUGUGCUAAACAGAGUAGCAGACAGUCCCUACUGUGAAUUCUGUACAGAAUAAACAGACCACACAGACACGCGGUAGGAGACAGGGACACAACACACUGGAACAAUAAGGCUGAAGUUUUAAUUAGAGCUGCUUGAAUAGUGAAUUAGUUCAGGCAGCUGCUAAGAAAUCAAUCCCUGGAGUCUAUUGCCAGCAUUAUAUCCCUGGGUGGUCAUCAAAGGCAAUUAAGCUCUGCCAGGAAUUCAGAGCUGCUGGUAACAAACAGGAGGCUGUUAAUAAGAGCAAGGAACUCAUUCAACUGCUGGAUCAAACAAGGUGUGAUCGAUAGAGGGAGACAGUCACAAAGGUGGACUUUGCCAGGCUUUCCGGCUGGAAUGAGUAGACCAUUAAAAGUCUUUCUGGAUAUUCCAGGCUCAUCAAAAAGGGGUUUCCUGUCUCCACAAAUAUUGUCAUUUCCCAGCCAAUGGCUAUUGCCCAUAGACAGAACCUGGAUAAGUCUUUCAGCCCUGCAGUCAAAACUGAGAUUACAGAUGGCAGGCUCCUAAUGUGGAUUCAAACUUGAUGGGUCUUUUUUUCAGACAAAGAGCUGGACUGGACCAUAACGUUUAUGAAAACAGGAAAGGCUCCAUACCUGGAUUAUAUCCAUAUGAAGUUCCUACUAUACCUAGGGCUAAAAGGUGAUUGCUUUGGUUCCUCAACCAGUGUUUCCAGAACAACCGCAUCCCAAAAAUCUGGCUCAAUGCAAAGGCUGUAGCCAUUCUGAAACCAGGAAAAGCCUGGAAGAUCCCAAGAGCUAGUGAUUCAUCUCUCUACUUUGUGUCAAAUACAAGUUUAUGAAGAGACCGAUUCUGAUGUGCAUCAGUGAGGUUAUCAAGCUACAACUGCUCUUUGUUCAGACUGGCUUCAGAUGAGCAUGCUGUACCCAAGAUUACAUUAUUCACUCAACACAAGACAUUGAAGAUGCCUUUGAGAAGAGCAAGAAAGUUGGUGCUGUUCUGGUGGAUCUAUCAGCUACAUGUGAUGCUGUUUGGCAGGUGGGGCUGACUGCCAAGUUGUGUCACACUGUUCUCUAAACCCAUGGUGCAGCUCAUCAUGGAAAUAACAAAUUUGAGUUCCUUUUUGCAAGAUGGAGACAAACUUAACUCCCUUAGACAUCUCUGUAGUGGACUCCUGCAAGGAUCCAUUUCAAUGUAUAUACUUACUGGCUUUAAUUGUUGGUAGGUUGUAAGUAUGUACAUGUGGAUGGGCUCUGUCUCGCUGAUGUGGCUAACGUUCUACCCAAUGCUGAAGAGACAGUCAGGACAUGAAUGCUCUGGCCAAAGCUUCAUCAAUGGAGAUUUACUUUGAGAGUCUGAUAAUGCCCACAAACUUCCAUCUAAACUAUCGCCUGGCCUAUCAGCCCCUUACAGUUUGUUGAGGAUCAUCCACUCCCUUCCCAGACAGUUGUCACUCAUUUAGACUGUGGUCCAGUUUGACUCCUAAUAUACUGGUAACAUCUAGAACACUUAAAGGAAACUCUCACCUCCUGCACUGCCGUGGGAUAAAAGCUAACAGGAUCCUCCUGGGGAACAGAAGCAAAUGUUCUCUGAACCUCAUUCCCAGCACGGGUGUUCGCGCCAACAGAAUAUUGUGCAGCAGUUUGGGACACUGCCUCCCCCUCUGCUGGACAUGGGUUUAGUAGGAGCGCUGUGGGGAAGACCGAGCUCCUUCACGUUACCAUUCAGCAGCAGCCAUCACCAGCUACAAACCCCAGGCCCCUGCUGCAAAGCCCUUUAGACACCGCUCCUUUUGAAUGGUGGUGAUGACAAUAUAAGGGUCACUUGCCAGCUGUGCAGAUAUUUAUGGCUGGCUUUGACUGUGACCCCUAAAGGGCAGAGGCCUCUGGCAUGCUGAGCCACAUGGCGCGCAGCCCUCAUGACUUAAAGUAGCAGCAGCCUCUCUCAGGACAACAAAUA
Mauremys reevesii (Reeves's turtle) is the source of this 2125-nucleotide long non-coding RNA. RefSeq lists it as uncharacterized. The transcript has 2 exons. Lineage: Eukaryota; Metazoa; Chordata; Testudines; Geoemydidae. The record is from RefSeq and is a predicted model, not a curated record.